UGACAACCUGGUUGAUCCUGCCAGUAGUCAUAUGCUUGUCUCAAAGAUUAAGCCAUGCAUGUCUAAGUACAAACUAUAUUAAAGUGAAACCGCGAAAGGCUCAUUAAAUCAGUUAUGGUUCCUUAGAUCGUACCACAAUUACUUGGAUAACUGUGGUAAUUCUAGAGCUAAUACAUGCAAACAGAGCUCUGACCGGAGACGGAAGGAGUGCUUUUAUUAGAUCAAAACCAAUCGGCGUCGGUAGCGUUUAGGCGUUAUCGUUCGUCGCUCAAUAAAUGGUGAAUCUGAAUAACUUUAUGCUGAUCGCAUGGUCUUGUACCGGCGACGCAUCUUUCAAAUGUCUGCCUUAUCAACUGUCGAUGGUAGGAUCUGCGCCUACCAUGGUUGUAACGGGUAACGGGGAAUCAGGGUUCGAUUCCGGAGAGGGAGCCUGAGAAACGGCUACCACAUCCAAGGAAGGCAGCAGGCGCGCAAAUUACCCACUCCCGGCACGGGGAGGUAGUGACGAAAAAUAACGAUACGGGACUCAUCCGAGGCCCCGUAAUCGGAAUGAGUACACUUUAAAUCCUUUAACAAGGACCAAUUGGAGGGCAAGUCUGGUGCCAGCCGCCGCGGUAAUUCCAGCUCCAAUAGCGUAUAUUAAAGUUGUUGCGGUUAAAAAGCUCGUAGUUGAAUUUGUGUCCCGCACUGUCGGUUCACCGCCCGCGGUGCUAACUGGCAUGAUUGUGGGACGUCCUGCCGGUGGAUGUAAGUGAGAGAUUUCGGUCUUUUGCACAUCCGACUUAUAAAUCCUGUCGCGGUGCUCUUAAUUGAGUGUCGAGGCGGGCCGGCACGUUUACUUUGAACAAAUUAAAGUGCUCAAAGCAGGCUAAUUAAUGCCUGAAUAAUUAGUGCAUGGAAUAAUGGAACAGGACCUUGGUUCUAUUUUGUUGGUUUUCGGAACCCCAAGGUAAUGAUUAAUAGGGACAGGUGGGGGCAUUCGUAUUGCGACGUUAGAGGUGAAAUUCUUGGAUCGUCGCAAGACGGACUAAAGCGAAAGCAUUUGCCAAAAAUGUUUUCAUUAAUCAAGAACGAAAGUCAGAGGUUCGAAGGCGAUCAGAUACCGCCCUAGUUCUGACCAUAAACGAUGCCAGCUAGCGAUCCGCCAAAGUUCCUCCGAUGACUUGGCGGGCAGCUUUCGGGAAACCAAAGCUUUUGGGUUCCGGGGGAAGUAUGGUUGCAAAGCUGAAACUUAAAGGAAUUGACGGAAGGGCACCACCAGGAGUGGAGCCUGCGGCUUAAUUUGACUCAACACGGGAAACCUCACCAGGCCCAGACACUGGAAGGAUUGACAGAUUGAGAGCUCUUUCUUGAUUCAGUGGGUGGUGGUGCAUGGCCGUUCUUAGUUGGUGGAGCGAUUUGUCUGGUUAAUUCCGAUAACGAACGAGACUCUAGCCUACUAAAUAGACGUUUCACUUACCAGUAUCUCGAAGGCUCACAUCUCUCGUUUCUUUACUGCACAUCUCCAGCAUUUCGGUGUUUGGUUGGUGUGUGGUGGGCGGGAGUUUGUGGUUUUUACUACUGGCGUACAUAUAAUUCUUCUUAGAGGGACAGGCGGCUUCUAGCCGCACGAGAUUGAGCAAUAACAGGUCUGUGAUGCCCUUAGAUGUUCUGGGCCGCACGCGCGCUACACUGAAGGAAUCAGCGUGUCUUCCCUGGCCGAAAGGUCCGGGUAACCCGCUGAACCUCCUUCGUGCUAGGGAUUGGGGCUUGCAAUUAUUCCCCAUGAACGAGGAAUUCCCAGUAAGCGCGAGUCAUAAGCUCGCGUUGAUUACGUCCCUGCCCUUUGUACACACCGCCCGUCGCUACUACCGAUUGAAUGAUUUAGUGAGGUCUUCGGACUGGUACGCGGUGAUGUUUCGACAUUACCGAUGUCGCUGGGAAGAUGACCAAACUUGAUUAUUUAGAGGAAGUAAAAGUCGUAACAAGGUUUCCG
This 1975-nucleotide ribosomal RNA is filed under the name Dromius quadrimaculatus. RNAcentral's name for it is "SSU rRNA". It matches the Rfam family "Eukaryotic small subunit ribosomal RNA". Lineage: Eukaryota; Metazoa; Arthropoda; Insecta; Coleoptera; Carabidae. The record is from RNAcentral.